Molecule: ribosomal RNA, 485 nt
Filed under: uncultured Sphingobacterium sp.
Lineage: Bacteria; Pseudomonadati; Bacteroidota; Sphingobacteriia; Sphingobacteriales; Sphingobacteriaceae
Description: bacterial SSU rRNA
Rfam family: Bacterial small subunit ribosomal RNA
Source: RNAcentral
CCCGAUUUUAGAAAAAACCCACAAUAUUGGGGAUGUAGGCUGAAUAUACUGGAAGAAUAAGGAUCGGCUAACUCCGUGCCCGCCGCCGCGGUAAUACGGAGGAUCCGAGCGUUAUCCGGAUUUAUUGGGUUUAAAGGGUGCGUAGGCGGCCAAUUAAGUCAGGGGUGAAAUACGGUGGCUCAACCAUCGCAGUGCCUUUGAUACUGAUYGGCUUGAAUCCAUUUGAAGUGGGCGGAAUAAGACAAGUAGCGGUGAAAUGCAUAGAUAUGUCUUAGAACUCCGAUUGCGAAGGCAGCUCACUAAGCUGGUAUUGACGCUGAUGCACGAAAGCGUGGGGAUCGAACAGGAUUAGAUACCCUGGUAGUCCACGCCCUAAACGAUGAUAACUCGAUGUUGGCGAUAGACAGCCCGCGUCCCAGCGAAAGCGUUAAGUUAUCCACCUGGGGAGUACGCCCGCAAGGGUGAAACUCAAAGGAAUUGACGGA